UUGCUUUGGCAGCACAUAUACUAAAAUUGGAAUGAUACAGAGAAUAUUAACACGGUUCCUGCACAAGGGUAACAUGCAAAUUUCUGAAGUGUUCUCUAUUAAA
Small nuclear RNA from Mustela putorius furo (domestic ferret), 103 nucleotides. Lineage: Eukaryota; Metazoa; Chordata; Mammalia; Carnivora; Mustelidae. The record is from Ensembl.